This 656-nucleotide ribosomal RNA is filed under the name uncultured fungus. RNAcentral describes it as "eukaryotic LSU rRNA". It matches the Rfam family "Eukaryotic large subunit ribosomal RNA", at positions 24 to 664 of the family's 3401-position model. The record is from RNAcentral. Lineage: Eukaryota; Fungi.
CCCGCUGAACUUAAGCAUAUCAAUAAGCGGAGGAAAAGAAACUAACAAGGAUUCCCCUAGUAACUGCGAGUGAAGCGGGAAGAGCUCAAAUUUGAAAUCUGGCGGCUUCGCCGUCCGAGUUGUAUUCUGGAGAAGCGUUUUCCGUGCUGGACCGUGUACAAGUCCCUUGGAACAGGGCGUCGUAGAGGGUGAGAAUCCCGUCUUUGACACGGACUGCCAGUGCUCUGUGAUGCGCUCUCGAAGAGUCGAGUUGUUUGGGAAUGCAGCUCAAAAUGGGUGGUAAAUUCCAUCUAAAGCUAAAUAUUGGCGAGAGACCGAUAGCGAACAAGUACCGUGAGGGAAAGAUGAAAAGCACUUUGGAAAGAGAGUGAAACAGUACGUGAAAUUGUUGAAAGGGAAACGCUUGAAGUCAGUCGCGUUGUCCGGGGAUCAACCUUGCUUUUGCUGGGCGUACUUCCCGGUUGACGGGUCAGCAUCAAUUUUGACCGUUGGAUAAAGUCUAGGGGAAUGUGGCAUCUUCGGAUGUGUUAUAGCCCUUGGUCGCAUACAACGGUUGGGAUUGAGGAACUCAGCACGCCGCAAGGCCGGGUAUUCGUACCACGUUCGUGCUUAGGAUGCUGGCAUAAUGGCUUUAAUCGACCCGUCUUGAAACACGG